CGGUGCGAUCAUACCAGCACAAUGCACCGGAUCCAUCAAACUCAGUAGUACUAGGAUGGGUGACCUCCUGGGAAGUCCUCGUGUUGCACCCC
RNAcentral lists this small RNA (92 nucleotides) under Salix viminalis (osier). The record is from RNAcentral. Lineage: Eukaryota; Viridiplantae; Streptophyta; Magnoliopsida; Malpighiales; Salicaceae.